GUGGAGGCGCUGAUCGGCUCAGGUGGCUUGCAAAACGGGGAUGGAGACAAGCAAUGCAGCCGAGGAAAGCUCUUCACACGUGUCCAGCUGCCUUUCCACGGCUUCUGCAGCUCAAGAUGCUGCUGCGGCUGGGGGCUGGCUCCUGCCGCCGCUGCAAUAUAUCCCCUCUGCUGCUUGUGCCGUUCUGGAGCCGCAAGGCUGCAUCUCCCCCUCUCUCUCCCGUCAGUUUUCCCCAUCCCAGCUUCACGUUCAAGGUUUAACAGCGAGGUCACGUCCAUUGACGUCAGCUCGAGUCUUACUGUACGUCCGGCUGCAUUUACAUACAUCAAGGAAAUUAGGGCAUUAAAAAUAUGCAAAUCCUGCUGCUUGAAGAAGAGACUGUAGAUUCCCGCAGCGAUCGUCCCUGUUAUUGAAGAUUGUAAUUAAAGGAACAGAAACAAACCAACCCCCCUCCCCGCGUCCCCCCAAAAAACAACAACAACCAAAAACCCCGAAUGACAAAUAUCUGUUAGGCACUGAGAAGAGGUUUCUGCUGCUCCGGUUCGGUGGCUGACUGAGGACGGCCGGCCUGCAGCACUGCACGGAGAAGAGAACAGGUUAGAGGAGGCUGCUCCAGACGUCUCUCUAUGCAUAAUCAGGGCUUCGCCGCUGCGCCAUUCUCCUCUCCUCCUCCUGCUGCUGCUGCUGCUCCUGUUGGUUCCAGCGUGUAUUAUUUUUAAUACUGAUGCAUAUGUAAAGACGGGCAAAUUCCUAGCACCUUUUCUUAACUGAGGCUGGGAGCACCAUUGAAUUUGUGUGCCGGCCAGCAGCCUCACAGAGACAGCGGAGGGGAGUGAAAACGCCAGUGAUCCUGCACCGGGAGAAGAGAAUUCACAGCAACUUAGCAAGCAAACAAGACAAAAAGUUAAAGAGUGAUGGCACUGUACCUUGCCCCCGGUCACUCAGACGUGCGCUUCCCAUUUUGUACAUGAUGAAGAGUUUUGGAAACUACGUCUGAGUCCAAUGGAUCGUUUGGUUUGUGGAAUCAAAGCCCACCUAAAAGUGGUACAAGCCACUGAAUGUCCCUGAAUGCGUGAGUGUCCCUGAAUGUCCCAAAACCGUGUAAAAACUCACUAUUGUGUAAAAUCUAUACGGUUGAGCAGACUCAUGUAUCUUGUUUAUGUAAGCAGGGGAAUGAUUACAUUUUCUCUAGAUGAACUAAUUUCAGACAAAAGCAUAUACCAAUGUAUAAGACUAAAAGUUUCCAAUUUUAAUCAAACCACAACCCCUCUUCAAAAUCUUCCAUUACAAAUGUAUUAGACAAACAUAUCUGCCUUUUAGCAGACAGACGUUUCCUGGCACAGCUAUGGUUCUGAGCGGAUGCUGCUGCUAAAACAUUGCUAAAUUAACACCAAACCAGUGGUGCUCCCGCUUGUGGUGCUAUGCACCAGAGAUCAGAAUUGAGUCCUUAGUGUUGCGACAUCAUUGAAAAACUCAAACAAGGGGGAGAUCUUAAAAGAGGAGGCUAUUCUCUGUGCACAGAUAUUUUGGUAACUAGUAAUAAUCAGUAAAUAAUAAUAAAAUGUAUGAAAUAGCUUAACACAACAUACUUAGGCUUAAUUAAAUAACCCGUCUGUCUGUUUAGCCCAGGAUUUUCCGAUUUUUUUUCCCUAUGGACCUCAUUUUAUAAGAGACAUUGUCUUGUGGAUCAUCUCCUUUCCUAAUUUCAGUUGUUCAGAUCACCUCCCCUCCCAUUCAUGACUGGGGCAACUACAAUUUCUUAAAGGGGGAAGUCAUAGUAGGAAAGUAUCGAAGGUCGUUUUCACCAUCUUUUCAUGCCAUUUGGAAGAUGGAAAGGAGAAGGAGAGUUCAGUCUCAUGACCAGCCAGCUCUCUGCAGAACACCAGUAAAUUGUUCUGUGGAUCAGAAUAAGAGUUGCUGGUCUAAUUUCCAAAUAUAUGGAAAUUGUCUAUCACAGACAAUGGGGAGUUGUGUUUAAAAUUCGAUGACAGGUUAUAGCCACACUGUUUACAAAUUGCUUCUCUGGAAUGGGGUUCUUUAACCACAAGAAGUUCAGAAGUGAAUUGACACGCACACAAGCAGGUACCCUCUAUUUCUGCUUCCUAUUAGCCUGCACAGUUAUGGGAGAUCUUCCCCCACAUCUCUGCCCUGGCCUCUAUUUUUAUAAAAAAAAGAAAAACUAAUUCCAUCCGAGAUCGGAACUCGGAAUAUAUUAAUCAAUGGAGAUUAUCUAUACAACAGGGAACAGACGCCUGUCAAUUAUAAGGCUCUCCUCUGGUUUCUCCCCAGAUUGUACCAAUCUUUCCCCUUUUACAAGACUACAUUGCCACUGAGAAUAAACUUCGAGUUUGUGGCAUUAGCAGAAAACUGCAAAGCCCUCUUUAGCCUUAGCCUGAUUAUAAACUGCCCCUAAUUUAAAAGUCAGCUUGUCUUAAUUUUACACUUAAAAUACACAAAUCCUGAUUCUGAAUCCACCAUUGUUUCUUACUAUCAUUAUUUGCCCUGUUGGAGGAGUUGGUCCCAGGGUAAUAGAGAGACAAGGUGCGGGAUGUGGUAUCUUUUAUUGGCCCAGCUUGUGUUGAGGAGAGAGACAAACUUUCCAGCUAUAUAGAGCUUUUCUUCAGGUCUGGGAAAGGUACUCAUCCCUCCUGCACUUCUCCUUUUCCCUCCUCCUGGCACUGUUGGGUCUAGAGCUGGAUGGAGGAUUUUAGUUUGUUCAUUUGUUUGUUUUCCAGAAAAAUUUAACAAACAUGAUUUUGUUUGUUCAUUUUCAUUGUUUUCAGCAGGAAAUGUUGCCUUUUAAUUGAAAAUCUGAAAACCAAUUUGUUAUGGCUUUCAGCAACUGAAAACCAUUUUUUGUCAGACAUCCCUCCAGCCUUCCUCCCCAAAUCCAGCCCGAGAUGAUGGGCGGUUUCAUCUGAACAUUUUGGGGUUUUGUUUCUCUCUCUCUCUCUCUCUCUCUGGGAAAGCAGACACUUUUCAUAAACACCUUUGUUUAGUUAAAAACCCAUUUAAAAAAAAAGUUUUGAAGGAGAAUUUUUGACUGGCCUUAUUUGCCUCUCCAUCCACUCAACUUGGAGUGGUCUUUUCUCAUUCUCCCCCUUCUCCUCUUUAAGAUCCCUUUCCUGCAGAAUCUAAGCUUUCAUUUUUUUAAAAGUAUGUUUCUAGCCCUCCUGUUGGCAAAGUUACUAUUUCAAAUGCCAAAGGGAGAUACUGAUGCAGUGUUGUCUUACAGAAUCUGCAGUCAGCUUCACAAAGUGACUGAGCAGUGUGAACUCCCCUCUUCCAUUAAUCUCUGUUUUUACUUGUCAGCACUCAUUAUUUCAUUGCCCAUCAUUUUAUCAGCUGGAAUAGGAGAAAGGAACAAAGCACACAGAGUUAACUGGGACUUGGGGCAGGGAAAGAAACAGAGUGGAAAGAAAAGAGGAGAGACACAGAGAUGGGGAAUGGGAAGAGAAAGAAUGGCCACAAUAAUGGUGGUUCUAAAGAUGAAAAUAGUUCCCACUGAACUAGUGUAAUAGGAUCAUCUGCCUCCAGAUUACUCUCUUGUGACCAAGGGUGCCUCUGCCAUGCCCUGCCUCUGUUUUGCCCUUCUUCAGGGCUUCUUAAACAAACUCCAGUCUUUCUUAUCCACUCACAGCCCUUCUUGGGGUCUGGUUUUACUAACAUGAAGUUCCAAACACAAACACAUUUCUACCUGGUCUCAAGAUGACACAACCCCUCCUCACUGAACUACUGUCCACUCCUGCUCUCUAAGCAGCUACAGAAGAUGCAAGGGCUGGCCUACCUUUUCCCAAAGGAAAAACAAACCUUUUAGUUGAGUCUUCUUACCCAUCCCCAGCUCCCUUCCUCAGGGACCACUGCCAAAGACCCUCUGUCCCUGCAGCUUCACUCUGUACUUCCCUUUCUAGCUCUGUCCUCACCGAGCCACCUUCUCACCCUUCAUAGCACAGGAGCAGCUCCAUAUGUGCCCCCGCUUAAUUGGCUCAACUGAGAGCUCCUGCUCUGGCACAGCAGCGCUUUAACAUGGGCUGUGUACGGGCUGGUACCAGCUUCUUACUGGUACACCAUACCGGCCCGUACAGUCCCACUUUCACCCCUGAUUGUAACUCCUAUGCUGGUGAUGUCUGUUCACCACCCACCUGGGCGUUGGUUACCAUUUCCCUUGUCAUAGUCUCUGAAGAGCUAGUAUCUAGGCACUUCCCAAACCCACAACAUAUUUUAGUGAAAACCAUACACCACAAUUCUUAUAAUUUUAUAUGCAUUAGUGACACUCAUAUUUAUAUGGAAUGAUGGGUUUCAGCAGAUCAUAACCUUUCCCCUGAUACCUCACAUGACAUGCUUUAUAUGCAAUAUCACAAUUAUAUGUAAAUGAGGAAUAUGGGGCUUACAGGGUGCUCCACCGAGGUACAAUGUCAGAAACUCCCCUACUACUGUGUGUACUAGUGCAAUACUGUAAUUGUCAUGUGCAUAAUUAUAUCAAUAUCAUAACAGCUUCACAUUCUGACCUGGAGCUGAUAUAGUAGGAUCAAUGCCCCUUCUGAGUGCUGUGUGACUUACUGGUUUAUGGCUUGAUCUUAUCUCAUUAAGGUCAAUGACAAGACUUCCAUUGAUUUCACUAGGAGCAGGAUUGGGCCUUUAGCUCUUCCUGCAAACCCCUUAUAGAUAGAAAAUACAGAAUAGAUCAUCAUGAUUUUGAAGGAGUUGUUACACAAACAUUAUAAACAUUUACUACAUUUUAAAAUUAUUUACA
Molecule: long non-coding RNA, 4753 nt
Organism: Dermochelys coriacea (leatherback sea turtle)
Lineage: Eukaryota; Metazoa; Chordata; Testudines; Dermochelyidae
Exons: 3
Source: RefSeq, a predicted model, not a curated record